GGAAGCCGGUGAGAAUCCGGCACGGUCGCGCCACUGUGAACGGCCAGCCAGCCCGCUGGUAGCCGUGAGUCAGAC
RNAcentral lists this non-coding RNA (75 nucleotides) under Frankia sp. The record is from RNAcentral. Lineage: Bacteria; Bacillati; Actinomycetota; Actinomycetes; Frankiales; Frankiaceae.